This 480-nucleotide ribosomal RNA is filed under the name uncultured bacterium. RNAcentral describes it as "partial 16S ribosomal RNA". It matches the Rfam family "Bacterial small subunit ribosomal RNA", at positions 28 to 523 of the family's 1533-position model. The record is from RNAcentral.
GACGAACGCUGGCGGCGUGCUUAACACAUGCAAGUCGAGCGAUGAAGCACCUUCGGGUGUGGAUUAGCGGCGAACGGGUGAGGAACACGUGAGGAAUCUGCCUUCCACUCUGGGAUAACUCCGGGAAACCGGGGCUAAUACCGUAUACUUUCAACUGGCGGCAUCGCCGGUUGAAGAAAGUUUUUCGGUGGAAGAUGACCUCGCGGCCUAUCAGCUUGUUGGUGAGGUAAUGGCUCACAAAGGCGACGAAGGGUAGCCGGCCUGAGAGGGCGACCGGCCACACUGGGACUGAGACACGGCCCAGACUCCUACGGGAGGCAGCAGUGGGGAAUAUUGGGCAAUGGAGGAAACUCUGACCCAGCGACGCCGCGUGAGGGAUGAAGGCCUUCGGGUUGUAAACCUCUUUCAGCAGGGAAUAAGCGAAAGUGAAGGUACCUGCAGAAGAAGCACCGGCUAACUAUGUGCCAGCCGCCGCCGUAA